UACGAAGGGGGCUAGCGUUGUUCGGAAUGACUGGGCGUAAAGCGCACGUAGGCGGCGAGUUUAGUCAGAGGUGAAAUCCCGGGGCUCAACCCCGGAACUGCCUUUGAUACUGGCUCGCUAGAGUCCGGAAGAGGGUGGCGGAAUACCCAGUGUAGAGGUGAAAUUCGUAGAUAUUGGGUAGAACACCGGUGGCGAAGGCGGCCACCUGGUCCGGUACUGACGCUGAGGUGCGAAAGCGUGGGGAG
Molecule: ribosomal RNA, 245 nt
Filed under: uncultured Alphaproteobacteria bacterium
Lineage: Bacteria; Pseudomonadati; Pseudomonadota; Alphaproteobacteria
Description: partial 16S ribosomal RNA
Rfam family: Bacterial small subunit ribosomal RNA
Source: RNAcentral